GACGAACGCUGGCGGCGUGCCUAACACAUGCAAGUCGAGCGAGUGAAUCUCCUUCGGGAGUGAAGCUAGCGGCGGACGGGUGAGUAACACGUGGGCAACCUGCCUCAUAGAGGGGAAUAGCCCUUCGAAAGGAAGAUUAAUACCGCAUAAGAUUGUAGCUUCGCAUGCAGUAGCAAUUAAAGUUGCAAUCCGCUAUGAGGUGGGCCCGCGGCGCAUUAGCGAGGUGGUGAGGUAACGGCGCACCAAGGCGACGAUGCGUAGCCGACCUGAGAGGGUGAUCGGCCACAUUGGGACUGAGACACGGCCCAGACUCCUACGGGGGGCAGCAGUGGGGAAUAUUGCACAAUGGGGGAAACCCUGAUGCAGCAACGCCGCGUGAGUGAUGACGGCCUUCGGGUUGUAAGGCUCUGUCUUCAGGGACGAUAAUAACGGUACCUGAGGAGGAAGCCACGGCUAACUACGUGCCAGCAGCAGCCGCCG
This 480-nucleotide ribosomal RNA is filed under the name uncultured bacterium. RNAcentral's name for it is "partial 16S ribosomal RNA". It matches the Rfam family "Bacterial small subunit ribosomal RNA", at positions 28 to 523 of the family's 1533-position model. The record is from RNAcentral.